CCUACGGGUGGCAGCAGUGGGGAAUUUUGCACAAUGGGGGAAACCCUGAUGCAGCGACGCCGCGUGAGUGAAGAAGUAAUUCGUUAUGUAAAGCUCCAUCAGCAGGGAAGAAAAUGACGGUACCUGAGUAAGAAGCACCGGCUAAAAACGUGCCAGCAGCCGUGGCAAUACGUAUGGGGCAAGCGUUAUCCGGAUUUACUGGGUGUAAAGGGAGGGCGGGCGGAACGGUAAGCCUGAUGUGAUAGCCGGCGGCCCCACCGGGGGAAUGCAGUGGGAACUACCGGGCUGGAGUGGCGGAGAGGUAGGCGGAAUUCCUAGUGUAGCGGGGAAAUGCGUAGAUAUUAGGAGGAACACCAGUGGCGAAGGCGGCCUACUGGACGGUGACUGACGCUGAGGCUCGAAGGCGUGGGGAGCAAACAGGAUUAGAUACCCCUGUAGUC
Molecule: ribosomal RNA, 440 nt
Filed under: uncultured bacterium
Lineage: Bacteria
Description: partial 16S ribosomal RNA
Rfam family: Bacterial small subunit ribosomal RNA
Source: RNAcentral